This is a non-coding RNA of Dactylonectria estremocensis, 95 nucleotides long. The record is from the annotation of a GenBank genome assembly. NCBI's taxonomy places the organism in Eukaryota, Fungi, Ascomycota, Sordariomycetes, Hypocreales, Nectriaceae.
GUCCCCGUGGCCUAAUGGCUAAGGCGCAAGACUUCUAAGCGGGGAAACCCCACCAUGAUAUCUUGAGAUUGCGAGUUCGAUCCUCGCCGGGGAUU